RNAcentral lists this ribosomal RNA (1043 nucleotides) under Microbulbifer sp. RNAcentral's name for it is "bacterial SSU rRNA". It matches the Rfam family "Bacterial small subunit ribosomal RNA", at positions 20 to 1074 of the family's 1533-position model. The record is from RNAcentral. Lineage: Bacteria; Pseudomonadati; Pseudomonadota; Gammaproteobacteria; Cellvibrionales; Microbulbiferaceae.
UGGCUCAGGAUGAACGCUGGCGGCGUGCUUAACACAUGCAAGUCGAACGAUGAAGCCUAGCUUGCUGGGUGGAUUAGUGGCGAACGGGUGAGUAACACGUGAGCAACCUGCCCCUGACUCUGGGAUAAGCGCUGGAAACGGCGUCUAAUACUGGAUAUGUCCCAUCACCGCAUGGUGUGUGGGUGGAAAGAUUUUUCGGUUGGGGAUGGGCUCGCGGCCUAUCAGCUUGUUGGUGAGGUAAUGGCUCACCAAGGCGUCGACGGGUAGCCGGCCUGAGAGGGUGACCGGCCACACUGGGACUGAGACACGGCCCAGACUCCUACGGGAGGCAGCAGUGGGGAAUAUUGCACAAUGGGCGGAAGCCUGAUGCAGCAACGCCGCGUGAGGGAUGACGGCCUUCGGGUUGUAAACCUCUUUUAGCAGGGAAGAAGCGAGAGUGACGGUACCUGCAGAAAAAGCACCGGCUAACUACGUGCCAGCAGCCGCGGUAAUACGUAGGGUGCAAGCGUUAUCCGGAAUUAUUGGGCGUAAAGAGCUCGUAGGCGGUCUGUCGCGUCUGCUGUGAAAUUCCGAGGCUCAACCUCGGGCUUGCAGUGGGUACGGGCAGACUAGAGUGCGGUAGGGGAGAUUGGAAUUCCUGGUGUAGCGGUGGAAUGCGCAGAUAUCAGGAGGAACACCGAUGGCGAAGGCAGAUCUCUGGGCCGUAACUGACGCUGAGGAGCGAAAGGGUGGGGAGCAAACAGGCUUAGAUACCCUGGUAGUCCACCCCGUAAACGUUGGGAACUAGUUGUGGGGUCCUUUCCACGGAUUCCGUGACGCAGCUAACGCAUUAAGUUCCCCGCCUGGGGAGUACGGCCGCAAGGCUAAAACUCAAAGGAAUUGACGGGGACCCGCACAAGCGGCGGAGCAUGCGGAUUAAUUCGAUGCAACGCGAAGAACCUUACCAAGGCUUGACAUACACGAGAACGGGCCAGAAAUGGUCAACUCUUUGGACACUCGUGAACAGGUGGUGCAUGGUUGUCGUCAGCUCGUGUCGUGAGAUG